RNAcentral lists this unclassified non-coding RNA (343 nucleotides) under soil metagenome. Its description in RNAcentral is "partial contains 5.8S ribosomal RNA, internal transcribed spacer 2, and large subunit ribosomal RNA". The stretch from base 1 to 120 matches the Rfam family "5.8S ribosomal RNA", at positions 35 to 154 of the family's 154-position model. The record is from RNAcentral.
GAUGAAGAACGUAUCGAAAUGCGAUAAGUAGUGUGAAUUGCAGAAUUCAGUGAAUCAUCGAAUCUUUGAACGCACAUUGCGCCCGCUAGUAUUCUGGCGGGCAUGCCUGUCCGAGCGUCAUUUCAACCCUCAAGCCCCCGGGCUUGGUGUUGGGGAUCGGCGAGCCUCCGCGCCCGCCGUCCCCUAAAUCUAGUGGCGGUCUCGCUGUAGCUUCCUCUGCGUAGUAGCACACCUCGCACUGGGAAACAGCGCGGCCACGCCGUUAAACCCCCAACUUCUGAACGUUUGACCUCGGAUCAGGUAGGAAUACCCGCUGAACUUAAGCAUAUCAAUAAGCGGAGGA